This 529-nucleotide ribosomal RNA is filed under the name uncultured bacterium. Its description in RNAcentral is "bacterial SSU rRNA". It matches the Rfam family "Bacterial small subunit ribosomal RNA", at positions 777 to 1297 of the family's 1533-position model. The record is from RNAcentral.
AAUAGAUACCCAGGUAGUCUACGCCGUAAACGAUGCGCACUAGGUUCGAAGGUCUCUGACGAUCCUCGAGCCGAAACAAAAGCGUUAAGUGCGCCGCCUGGGGAGUACGGCCGCAAGGCUAAAACUCAAAGGAAUUGACGGGGGCUCGACACAAGCGGUGGAGCAUGUGGAUCAAUUCGAAGCAACGCGAAGAACCUUACCUGGGUUUGACAUGUACGGAUGCCCUCGGGGAAACUCGAGUAAGCUGCCUUCGGGUGAAACGUAUACAGGUGCUGCAUGGCUGUCGUCAGCUCGUGCUGUGAAGUGUCGGGUUAAGUCCCUUAACGAGCGAAACCCUUAUCGCUAGUUGCCAGCGGGUCAUGCCGGGAACUCUAGUGAGACUGCCGGCGUCAAGCCGGAGGAAGGCGGGGACGACGUCAAGUCAUCAUGGCCUUUAUGCCCAGGGUGUCGCACGUGCUACAAUGGGGUGUACAGAGCGACGCAAGACCGCAAGGUGGAGCAAAUCGCAGAAAACNCCCCUNAGUUCGGA